RNAcentral lists this unclassified non-coding RNA (424 nucleotides) under Hevea brasiliensis (rubber tree). The record is from RNAcentral. Lineage: Eukaryota; Viridiplantae; Streptophyta; Magnoliopsida; Malpighiales; Euphorbiaceae.
AGUUGCAUGAUGCGCUAAGAUGGCUGCUUAUCAAUUCAGUAUCAUGUUUUAUAACUUAAUGCAUCAGAGUAACCACCAUAACAUGCCGUUUAAAAAUUCAUGCUCCAAAUCUAACCUAAACAGAGGGAUCUUAAUACACAAGAUUCUUAUUAAAAGGCAAAGAAAUACGAGGAAAAAAAUGUCCUAACCAUCAAGACUUUUGACAAUUUAAUCCACAAUUAAAAUGUCCUCAAAAUAGAUCAUUUAGUAAACAAGUAUACACUCUCAUGUAUAACAGCCAGGUAUUUGCUUAAGAAUUUACUGAGUGGUCCAUUUUGCCAGACAUUUAUCAUCUGUUGCACAAGGUAAAAAAACUGAAAAAAGAAGACUUUUACCAUGCUUCAAGAUAGUCUCAUUUCUUACCUUCCAAAACUUAAUGGUUUUA